GACGAACGCUGGCGGCGUGCCUAACACAUGCAAGUCGAACGGAGUUAAGACUUCGGUUUUAACUUAGUGGCGAACGGGUGAGUAACGCGUGAGAAACCUGCCUUUCAGUGGGGGACAACAGUUGGAAACGACUGCUAAUACCGCAUAAUGUUAUUUGGGGGCAUCCCUGAAUAACCAAAGCUUUAUGUGCUGAAAGAUGGUCUCGCGUCUGAUUAGCUAGAUGGCGGGGUAACGGCCCACCAUGGCGACGAUCAGUAGCCGGUCUGAGAGGAUGAACGGCCACAUUGGGACUGAGAUACGGCCCAGACUCCUACGGGAGGCAGCAGUGGGGAAUAUUGGGCAAUGGGGGAAACCCUGACCCAGCAACGCCGCGUGAAGGAAGAAGGCCUGGUUGUAAACUCUUUACCUAGGGACGGAACAACAAUAGACGGUAACCUGGAGAAAAAGACAAACGGCUAACUAACGUG
RNAcentral lists this ribosomal RNA (467 nucleotides) under uncultured bacterium. Its description in RNAcentral is "bacterial SSU rRNA". It matches the Rfam family "Bacterial small subunit ribosomal RNA", at positions 28 to 507 of the family's 1533-position model. The record is from RNAcentral.